UACGUAGGGGGCAAGCGUUAUCCGGAUUUACUGGGUGUAAAGGGAGCGUAGACGGCGACGCAAGUCUGGAGUGAAAGCCCGGGGCCCAACCCCGGGACUGCUUUGGAAACUGUGCUGCUGGAGUGCAGGAGAGGUAAGUGGAAUUCCUAGUGUAGCGGUGAAAUGCGUAGAUAUUAGGAGGAACACCAGUGGCGAAGGCGGCUUACUGGACUGUAACUGACGUUGAGGCUCGAAAGCGUGGGGAGCAAACAGG
RNAcentral lists this ribosomal RNA (253 nucleotides) under Enterocloster aldenensis. RNAcentral describes it as "partial 16S ribosomal RNA". It matches the Rfam family "Bacterial small subunit ribosomal RNA", at positions 524 to 776 of the family's 1533-position model. The record is from RNAcentral. Lineage: Bacteria; Bacillati; Bacillota; Clostridia; Lachnospirales; Lachnospiraceae.